UACGAAGGGGGCUAGCGUUGUUCGGAAUUACUGGGCGUAAAGCGUGCGCAGGCGGCUUCUCAAGUCAGGGGUGAAAGCCCAGAGCUCAACUCUGGAAUUGCCUUUGAGACUGAGUGGCUUGAGUACGAGAGAGGUGAGUGGAAUUCCCAGUGUAGAGGUGAAAUUCGUAGAUAUCGGGAGGAACACCAGUGGCGAAGGCGGCGACCUGGGCCAAUACUGACACUGAGGUGCGAAAGCGUGGGGAGCAAACAGG
RNAcentral lists this ribosomal RNA (253 nucleotides) under uncultured bacterium. RNAcentral describes it as "partial 16S ribosomal RNA". It matches the Rfam family "Bacterial small subunit ribosomal RNA", at positions 524 to 776 of the family's 1533-position model. The record is from RNAcentral.